GUGUCAGCAUCCGCGGUAAUACAGAGUGUGCACGCGUUAAUCGGAAUUACUGGGCGUAAAGCGCGCGUAGGUGGUUUGUUAAGUUGAAUGUGGAAUCCCCGGGCUCAACCUGGGAACUACAUCCAAAACUGGCAAGCUAGAGUAUGGUAGAGGGUGGUGGAAUUUCCUGUGUAGCGGUGAAAUGCGUAGAUAUAGGAAGGAACACCAGUGGCGAAGGCGACCACCUGGACUGAUACUGACACUGAGGUGCGAAAGCGUGGGGAGCAAACAGGAUUAGAUACCCCCGUAGUCC
RNAcentral lists this ribosomal RNA (292 nucleotides) under uncultured prokaryote. RNAcentral describes it as "partial 16S ribosomal RNA". It matches the Rfam family "Bacterial small subunit ribosomal RNA", at positions 505 to 796 of the family's 1533-position model. The record is from RNAcentral.